CCUACGGGGGGCAGCAGUAGGGAAUAUUGCUCAAUGGGGGAAACCCUGAAGCAGCAACGCCGCGUGGAGGAUGAAGGUUUUCGGAUUGUAAACUCCUUUUGUUAGAGAAGAUAAUGACGGUAUCUAACGAAUAAGCACCGGCUAACUUCGUGCCAGCAGCCGCGGGAAUACGGAGGGUGCAAGCGUUACUCGGAAUCACUGGGCGUAAAGAGCGCGUAGGCGGGAUAGCAAGUCAGUUGUGAAAUCCUAUGGCUUAACCAUAGAACUGCAUUUGAAACUGUUAUUCUAGAGUAUGGGAGAGGUAGGUGGAAUUCUUGGUGUAGGGGUAAAAUCCGUAGAGAUCAAGAGGAAUACUCAUUGCGAAGGCGACCUGCUAGAACAUAACUGACGCUGAUGCGCGAAAGCGUGGAGAGCAAACAGGAUUAGAUACCCCUGUAGUC
Molecule: ribosomal RNA, 440 nt
Filed under: uncultured bacterium
Lineage: Bacteria
Description: partial 16S ribosomal RNA
Rfam family: Bacterial small subunit ribosomal RNA
Source: RNAcentral